GGUCUGUGGUGAGGUCAAGCUUAUCCCCUAUGAAAAUGAGCAGAACUUCUAGUUUGAUGAUUUUAAACCAAAAGAAAACAACAACAGCUCCUUAGCAGCACAGCUGCCAAUGGGGAAAAGGUCACUUUGGGCCAUAAGAGAAGCAGCAAUGCCCCAUGGAAGCCAAAAACUGAACAUUCCAGGGUUCAGCAGAGCAAUGACGAGAAGUGACUACCUGAGACUGGUCAUUCAAAGGCACUCUCGGAACACAUCAACAGGCUUGUGGUGUUGGAGACACGAGUUGCCUCUUCACGUACGCCCUAAGAACUGGAAGGAAAAAAGAGAGGAGAGAAAAAGGAAAAAGGAAAGAAAUGAAAGAAGGAAGAAAGAAAAGAGAAAAAAGAAUGAAAGAAAAAAGAAACUAAAAAGAAAGAAGGUAACAAGGAAGGAAAAAUAGAAAACCCACUUGAAAAAUAAUUACACAAUUACCAACAUCAUCUCCAAAGGCAAAGAAGGUUCUAUCAAUACUCUGUUCACUUUUGAAACUUCCUCUAGCUCUUUGGCAAACAUGAAGGUGUAGAUAAGGACUUAGUAGAUCUGGUUUCUAAUCCCAUCUCUGCUAUUAAUGAGCUUUUGCAACCUGCUAGCAAUUCUCUAUGCACAACAUUCAGUUUCCUACCUUCAUGCUUUUUAAAAGUGGUCUCCCAUGCCUGGAAUGAACUGCCCCCACCCUUCACCUCUUCCUGGUAGAAUCCUAGCUUCUUUCAGAGUAUGUCUCAGCUACCACCUCUAUAAAAGACCUUUUCUGACUCCUUUCUUGGAUAUUACUACGCUCUCUCUCUUCAAAUUAUUAUUUUGCAUAUAAAGAUACUUUUCAUUUAAUUACUUGUAUAUAUCUUGGACAUUCCAGUAAAAUAUAAGCUCUUUAAGGUCAGGGACUAUUUUAUUUUUGUCUUUGUAUGAUGAGGGACUGGCCAAUGUUCUGAGGAUGGGGUUCCCAUUGGUUAGUCUCCCCAGUGACUAGCAUAGACCUUGUACAUAGUUUUGUUGUUCAGUUGUUUUCAGUCAUGUCUGAGCCUAUUUGGGGUUUUCUCGGCACUGGAAUGGUUUCUCCAGCUUCACUCACAGAUGACUAAACUGAGGUAAACAGGGUUAAAUGAUUUGCCCAGGUCACAUAGUUUGUAUCUGAGGUCAAAUUUGAAUUUACCAAAAUGAGUCUUCUGAUUCCAGGUGUGGCACUCUAUCCACUGAAUCAUUUAAUAGCAAAUUCAUAAACUUUAUUGUUGAAUUGAAUUAGACAAGUCUCUUGCCAUUUUCAGACCUCGAUCUUUUUAUACAUCAAUUGGGCCAAUAAUGCCUUACAUAUUCUUCUCACAGGGUAGCUAUAAUUACCUAAGAAAAUAGAGGCAGAAGAAUUUAGAAAGCAAUUUUUAAGGUGCCUUGCAAAUAGAAGUGAUUAUUGUUAUUUACACAGUCAUUUUCAUAUCAGUGUAGUGUUCUUUUGGGGACUUGCCUUUACUUAACUCCAUAUCAGAAGUCAUUCAACUUCCUACAUAUAGAAGAAUCCCGCUAAGUAAGAAGGGGUUGUCUGGAUUCUGAAUUUUACAGUGGGGGUGGCUGGGCAGACUUGUCUCUGAGAUAAGAGAUUUGACAAGUUCCUUAUAAUUACAGAAUUUGGGGUCCAGAAGAGGUAGAAUAUUCCAGAAUUCUUCACUCAGGGAUCAUGCUGUACAUAAUUGGAAUAGGUGGCCAUUUCCAUAAGAGAGACUUCCCUCCUCCCAAAUCUAUCUCUGUCUGUUUCUGCAGAAGCUCAAAGUUCCAUCAUUAGAGUUCCC
Antechinus flavipes (yellow-footed antechinus) is the source of this 1814-nucleotide long non-coding RNA. RefSeq lists it as uncharacterized. NCBI's taxonomy places the organism in Eukaryota, Metazoa, Chordata, Mammalia, Dasyuromorphia, Dasyuridae. The record is from RefSeq and is a predicted model, not a curated record. The transcript has 3 exons.